Molecule: ribosomal RNA, 207 nt
Filed under: uncultured bacterium
Lineage: Bacteria
Description: partial 16S ribosomal RNA
Rfam family: Bacterial small subunit ribosomal RNA
Source: RNAcentral
CACGUAGGCGGAUCUUUAAGUCAGGGGUGAAAUCCCGGAGCUCAACUCCGGAACUGCCUUUGAUACUGAGGAUCUUGAGUCCGGGAGAGGUGAGUGGAACUGCGAGUGUAGAGGUGAAAUUCGUAGAUAUUCGCAAGAACACCAGUGGCGAAGGCGGCUCACUGGCCCGGUACUGACGCUGAGGUGCGAAAGCGUGGGGAGCAAACA